Molecule: transfer RNA, 85 nt
Filed under: Pseudomonas sp. FeN3W
Lineage: Bacteria; Pseudomonadati; Pseudomonadota; Gammaproteobacteria; Pseudomonadales; Pseudomonadaceae
Description: tRNA-Tyr
Rfam family: tRNA
About the family: Transfer RNA (tRNA) molecules are approximately 80 nucleotides in length.
Source: RNAcentral
GGACGGGUAGUGCAAGCGGUCAAAGCCAGCAGACUGUAAAUCUGCCCCGAAAGGUUCGGUGGUUCGAAUCCACCCCCGUCCACCA